RNAcentral lists this ribosomal RNA (253 nucleotides) under uncultured bacterium. RNAcentral's name for it is "partial 16S ribosomal RNA". It matches the Rfam family "Bacterial small subunit ribosomal RNA", at positions 524 to 776 of the family's 1533-position model. The record is from RNAcentral.
UACGAAGGGGGCUAGCGUUGCUCGGAAUUACUGGGCGUAAAGGGCUCGUAGGCGGCCAACUAAGUCGGAUGUGAAAUCCCCAGGCUCAACUUGGGAACUGCAUCCGAUACUGGAUGGCUUGAAUUCGGGAGAGGGAUGCAGAAUUCCAGGUGUAGCGGUGAAAUGCGUAGAUAUCUGGAGGAACACCGGUGGCGAAGGCGGCAUCCUGGACCGACACUGACGCUGAUGAGCGAAAGCCAGGGGAGCAAACGGG